GUGGAGUGUUGCUAUGGGGCAGCACUGUGGGUCAGUGCUCCACUUAUGGGGCAGAGCCCCACUUGUGGGUCACAGGCCCACUUGUAGGUCACAGCUUCACAUACUUAUGGGGCAAUGCACCACUUAUGGGGCAGAGAUUCAUGUACUUAAGGGGCAGAGCCCAACUUGUGGGGCAGAGAUUCAUGUACUUAUGGGGCAGAGCCCAACUUGUGGGGCAGAGAUUCAUGUACUUAUGGGGCAGAGAUUCAUGUACUUAUGGGGCAGAGAUUCAUGUACUUAUGGGGCAGAGCCCCACUUAUGGGGCAGAGUUUCACACACUUAUGGGGCAGUGCCCUAGUUGUGGGUCAGUCCAUGUGGGGCAGCACUGUGGCUCUGAGCCUCACGCGUGGGUCAGAGCCCCACUUAUGGGUCACAGCUCCACUUAUGGGGCAGAACCCCACUUAUGGGGCAGAGCCCCACUUAUGGGUCACAGCCCCACUUAUGGGUCACAGCUUCACGUACUUAUGGGGCAAUGCACCACUUAUGGGGCAGAGAUUCAUGUACUUAUGGGGCAGAGCCCCACUUAUGGGGCAGAGCUCCACUUAUGGGGCAGAGCUUCAAGUACUUGAGUCACAGCCCCACUUAUGGGUCUCAGCCCCACUUACAGGUGCUUCACUUGUGGGUCAGAACCCACUUAUGGGUCAGAGCUUCACGUACUUAUGGGGCAUCGCCUCACUUGUGGGUCAGAGCCCCACGCGUGGGUCAGUCUGUGUGGGUGAAUGCCCUACUUAUGGGUCAGAGCCCCACUUAUGGGUCAGAGCCCCACUUGUGGGUCACAGGCCCACUUAUGGGUCACAGCCCCAUGUGUGGGUCACAGCUCCACUUGUGGGUCACAGCCCCACUUAUGGGGCAGAACCCCACACGUGGAUCAGUCUCAGUGGGUGAAUGCCCUACUUAUGGGUCACAGCCCCACUUAUGGGUCACAGCCCCACACGUGGGUCACAGGCCCACUUAUGGGUCACAGCCCCAUGCGUGGGUUGGUCCAUGGUGGGCAGCGCUGUGGCUCAGAGCCCCACUUAUGGGUCACAGCCCCACUUGUGGGUCACAGCCCCACUUAUGGGGCAGAGCCCCACGUGUGGGUCAGUCCCUGUGGGUGAAUGCCCCACUUAUGGGUCAGAGCCCCACUUAUGGGUCAGAGCCCCACACAUGGGUCAGUCUGUGAGAGUCAAUGCCCUACUU
RNAcentral lists this long non-coding RNA (1218 nucleotides) under Numida meleagris (helmeted guineafowl). RNAcentral's name for it is "lncRNA (ENSNMEG00000000288.1)". The record is from RNAcentral. Lineage: Eukaryota; Metazoa; Chordata; Aves; Galliformes; Numididae.